Molecule: long non-coding RNA, 3354 nt
Organism: Acinonyx jubatus (cheetah)
Lineage: Eukaryota; Metazoa; Chordata; Mammalia; Carnivora; Felidae
Exons: 4
Source: RefSeq, a predicted model, not a curated record
UUUAAUAUGAGUAUCACAAGCCACAGGUGAAGAACACUGUUGGCAUAAUUACAUUAGGAUUUCACAGCAUUCACUGUCAGAUUUUCUCCUCCUCUGACCACGAAAGAAAAAGCCUUUUCCACCAUAAGUCAGUCGUGCUGUUAUGAGGCAGCCCUUGACCUCCAAAGGAGAACUUUGGAUUGCUGAAAGAAUAACAGUACCUGCCAUGGCCAUUUUGUCUGUGAGGACCCUCACCUAUUCAACUGGAAUGGGACUUCUUCAUAUACCAUCUCGUCAAUCAUGUGGCAACAUAGUGUCCAAAUCCCUCUUUCCUGACAGGGCUUCAGAAAGCAAAUGGAGUCAAAUACACCAUUUCAGUAAAUGUGAAAAAAAAAUAUGACAACCAACAAAAAGUAAUUUACUUCAUGGCAAUAAAAAUACUAGUAUGAGGACCCUCCAGAAGAGCAAGAAAACUUCAACAGAAAUGUGCUGUUGAUCACCAGAUGCCUAGAGCUGAAGAAGGUAACAUAGACAACCAGUCAGAAUGCACCUCACUUGUGAGGGAACACAGCAGGCAAAAGAUCCUCAGUGAUGCAUUGUUGGGGGAGAGGUGCUCCAAAACCUCUAAAGUACCCCACAGGGCUCCAGCACCAACUGGUAAUAUCCUAGUCAUGUAAGGCCUCUCCUGUCCUUCACCUUUUCUGUCAUAGCUAUUCCUCAACUUCAAGCUGACUUGUGGGGAUGAGGGUCAGAAACCACAAUUGUUGGCAAGCUGGGGGAGAAGGGGUAAGAAUGCAACACUGAAAAGAAGAAUGUAGAAAAAGCCACUCAGGUACCUCCCACCCAUCCUGCUUGCCCACUACCAGCUUUCUACCUAUGUAGGCCUAAAGUGUUACCUUUGAAUGAGGUUCCUACAUUUGAUCAUUAUCGUAAACCAAGACUAAAAAAAGGAACUGAGUCUAGUUUGUUUGUUUGUUUGUUUGUUUUUUCUAAAGUGACUACAGAGCAUUUUAUUAUCUGAAAAUAAGAUGAAUUCCAAGCUUAGCCAAGAUUUUAUCCAAGGGUAGGGGAAGGACCAACUGAGUUUAUAGAAGCAGUAUUUUUGAAAAAUAGAGUUAGUUUUAUAGUGGCACCAUGGUAGUUUGUUCUUGGAACAUAAGAGUUACUGUGAUUUGGGGGCACCUGGCUGGCUCAGUUGGUAGAGCAUGAAACUUCUUGAUCUUGGGGUUGUAACUUCAAGCCCCAUGUUGGAUGUAGAGAUUACUUAAAACUGAAAUCUUUAAAAAAAGAGUUUUUGAGAUUUUAGUGAUUCAACACACCAUGAAAAAUCUUUCUGCCCUGUUUCUAGAUAGAAGCCAUCAGGUUGGGAAAAUGAAGUAAGAAAAUUUUGUCCAUGUGAGCUGAGGAGAGCCUUGAAAUUGAUCUAAUAUAGUGACUAAUAAUACUAAUCAAUCCAUGAUCAAAAAUUCUGCCAUCAGGUUGUGCUGAAUUCUGUUCCAAUGGGGAUCUCAGACGCUUGUUUCUACCUUAGCAGGGAAAGGGAAGAAGGUUGGGGUACUCGAAACCACUCUCAGACUGAAGCAUAAUAUGGUGGUGACAGUUCUUCCAGCAACUCUGCUGUACCACUGAAGUGAAAAGGAUUUCCUGUACACUAAGAAUUGAAAAUUCUUCCAUGGUAUCCCAUUAUUUAUUCAGUGCAAGUACACUUGACAGCUAUCCUAUAUAAGAUACAUAAUUUACCUAAAAGGCAUGGUCCUCACUCCUGAAAAGACUGUUGUCUAAUACACUGUUUUUACUAUAAAUCCCUCCUGAAAAAAAAAGAAAAGGUGAGCAUGAAUGGCAAGUACAAACACACACUCAGAGACACCCCCUAAUUAAAAGAUGUCCGUAUUUGGGGGCACCUGGGUGGCUCAGUCGAGCGUCCAAGUUCGGCUCAGGUCAUGAUCUCACAGCUUGUGAGUUUGAGCCCUGCAUUGGGGCUCUGUGCUGACAGCUCAGAGCCUGUAGCCUGCUUCCAAUUCUGUGUCUCUGUCUCUCUCUGCUCCUCCCUUGCUCAUGCUUUCUCUCUUUCUCUCAAAAAUAAGUAAACAUUUAAAAUAAUAAUAAUAAUAAUAAUAAUAAUAAAAGAUAUCCAUGUUUCAUUGAAGUAUGAAAGUCACAAAAUUGCAUUUUUAUUUCUACUCCUACAGAGGAAAUAGUUGAGAGAAAGUCUGGGCUAUUGGAGAGACAGUCUCAAGCAGUAAGCAAAGAGAAUGAGAAUGGGGCAAGUGGGGUAAGAAGAAAUGCUGAGGUUUAGACCAGAGAAGAGAGCAGAGAGAAGCAGGCACAGAGAAUUCACCAAGCCAGAAGCAAGGGAACAGUGUGAGGAUCCCAGCAUCCCUCCAAUCUAUGACUUAACUUCUGGUGAGGACAAGGCCUGGAGGGCUGGGCCCUGGUGAGAAGAUCUCAUCACUGCAUUUCACUUAUCAGCAUAAAAUGAAGGAGGUGACCACUGAGGAAGCCUCCUUCUGAGCAGUUUUAUCUCCUGUCUGAGGAGCUGGGGCUGACCACUGCAUAUUUCUAGCAGUGAGUCAUCUGAAGACUUACUCUAAGUCUCUGGCCAUAAUCAACGCUUCCUCCCACCUAUAUCCCUGCUUGGAAUGUCUUUCUGUGACACCCUUUCAUCUCCCUAUUGAAAUCUUGCCCUACCUAUAAGACCUAACUCAAAACCCAUCACACCACAAAGCCCUCAGCCAUGUCCCUGUUCUCUAACAUCGAAUUAAAUUUAGAAGAAUUAAAUUUAGAAGGACAUGCUCACAUCACCUACUUUAUACAAAAGACUGUGUUGGAUGGUGUCCAUUCUGUUCCAAUUAUCUCUCACUGUAUAACAUACCAUCCCAAAGCAUAGUGACUUGAAACAGCUGCCAUUUUAUCAUGCUCAUGAAUGCUGUGUGUCAGAGACUGGGAAAGGACACAGUGGGGACAGUUCGUCCCUGUUCAUCUUGUUUGGAGCCCUGCCCAAAGUAACUUUCAGGGUUGGGAAUGACUCAGUAACUAAGGCCUGGAAUAGAUGGAGGAUCCACACUCAAGAUGGCUUCUUCACUCACAUAACUGUUGCCCAAGUGGGAUGGUGAAAAACAACUAGGACUCAACCAGAAGGCCUACAUGUGGCCACUCUAGUAUGGUGGCCUCAGGGUAGUAGUCAGACUUCUUGUAUGGGAACUCUGGCCAUUUAUGACCUAGCUUUGGAGGUCACAUGGCAUCACCUCUGCUAUACUCUUCUGGCCCAAGUGAACAUAAUCCGUCCAAAUUCAAGGGGAAGGUACAUAAACCUGCACCUCUUAAUGGAAGAAGUAACAAAGAAUUUGCAGUUGUGGUUUUUUUUCCUCAAUGUUU